Spinacia oleracea (spinach) is the source of this 610-nucleotide long non-coding RNA. RefSeq lists it as uncharacterized. Lineage: Eukaryota; Viridiplantae; Streptophyta; Magnoliopsida; Caryophyllales; Amaranthaceae. The transcript is spliced from 3 exons. The record is from RefSeq and is a predicted model, not a curated record.
GUUUCUGUCUCUUCCUCCCUGAAAAUUGACGCGCGAUUUAUGUUUGAAAUCCUUCGUUCUUCAAAUUCCAGAAAUUCGUCCCAAGAUUAGCAGUAUUUCAAUUAACUUGAAUCUGCAAUCAUCGAGCUCAAAAUUGAAGGUGUUUUGCUCGGAAUAUGAGAGUACGAGUUCCAUGGGCCAAUUUAAUCGUACUACUUGUCAAGGCAAAAGGAAGAGUUAUCCUACACCACCAACUUUCUCUAUCCUACACCACACCUAGCAUCACCCCUCCUUGCAGCCUGCCUCCUAUUCACUACUCGCCACCUGCAACCACCAUUUCACGCAGCAACCGAGCAUAACAGCAAGCCAUUUCCACCUCAACAAGCAGUCUACACAUCCCAGCAACAUCAAACAAUGAGUUUAGUUCUUUUUUCUCAAAUGGCAGCCAAAACAAAGCUAAAAACAGAAUGUAAAUAUUUUUAGUUUAGUUCUUUUUUCUCUUAGGGUUUAGGGUUUUUCUUGAGUUUAGUUUCUAUUUUCUAAGAGUGAGAAAGUGAUGAAAAAUCAUUGAAAUGGAGGAUUAUGGAUAAUACAAGAAGAUUUGAAGCAUUCAUUCAUCAAUCAAUGAGAA